Non-coding RNA from Xyrichtys novacula (pearly razorfish), 220 nucleotides. Lineage: Eukaryota; Metazoa; Chordata; Actinopteri; Labriformes; Labridae. The record is from the annotation of a GenBank genome assembly.
AGAGAGAGAGAUGAAGGGAAGGAGAGAGAGAGAGAGAGAGGGAGAGAGAGCGAAAAGGAUGAAUGAGAGUGACGGAGACGAGAGAGGGGUAAUCGUGUCUCUGCUCUACGUGCACUGGGCUGACAAACAGGUAGCUGAGUAUAUUAUGCGUAUGAAUGAGGAGGAGGGGACACUCUCUCUCUCUCUCUCUCUCUUUCUCUGUCUAUCUCCACCUCUUUCA